GUGAAUGACAAACAGGGGAACGAAAUACAAGUUGCUGCCCAUUACAACAAAGAUGCAUCCUCUGAUUCUGAAUUAUUUCCCAACCAUGUCUUCUGAAUUUAAGAGAAGUAACUUUUAAAGUUCAGGCAUGCCCUUCCCUGUUUUAGCAUCAUAAGUUUUCUCCAACACCACAUCCAUUGGAGUAUCCUUGGGACCAGCAACUG
RNAcentral lists this unclassified non-coding RNA (203 nucleotides) under Hevea brasiliensis (rubber tree). The record is from RNAcentral. Lineage: Eukaryota; Viridiplantae; Streptophyta; Magnoliopsida; Malpighiales; Euphorbiaceae.